GACGAACGCUGGCGGCGUGCCUAAUACAUGCAAGUAGAACGCACAGUUUAUACCGUAGCUUGCUACACCAUAGACUGUGAGUUGCGAACGGGUGAGUACCGCGUAGGUAACCUGCCUGGUAGCGGGGGAUAACUAUUGGAAACGAUAGCUAACACCGCAUAAUAUUGAUUAUUGCAUGAUAAUUGAUUGAAAGAUGCUAUUGCAUCACUACCAGAUGGACCUGCGUUGUAUUAGCUAGUAGGUGAGGUAACGGCUCACCUAGGCGACGAUACAUAGCCGACCUGAGAGGGUGAUCGGCCACACUGGGACUGAGACACGGCCCAGACUCCUACGGGAGGCAGCAGUAGGGAAUCUUCGGCAAUGGACGAAAGUCUGACCGAGCAACGCCGCGUGAGUGAAGAAGGUUUUCGGAUCGUAAAGCUCUGUUGUAAGAGAAGAACGGGUGUGAGAGUGGAAAGUUCACACUGUGACGGUAUCUUACCAGAAAGGGACGGCUAACUACGUG
This 505-nucleotide ribosomal RNA is filed under the name uncultured bacterium. Its description in RNAcentral is "partial 16S ribosomal RNA". It matches the Rfam family "Bacterial small subunit ribosomal RNA", at positions 28 to 507 of the family's 1533-position model. The record is from RNAcentral.